Molecule: ribosomal RNA, 1028 nt
Filed under: Penicillium crustosum
Lineage: Eukaryota; Fungi; Ascomycota; Eurotiomycetes; Eurotiales; Aspergillaceae
Description: SSU rRNA
Rfam family: Eukaryotic small subunit ribosomal RNA
Source: RNAcentral
GCACUUGUACUGUGAAACUGCGAAUGGCUCAUUAAAUCAGUUAUCGUUUAUUUGAUAGUACCUUACUACAUGGAUACCUGUGGUAAUUCUAGAGCUAAUACAUGCUAAAAACCCCGACUUCAGGAAGGGGUGUAUUUAUUAGAUAAAAAACCAACGCCCUUCGGGGCUCCUUGGUGAAUCAUAAUAACUUAACGAAUCGCAUGGCCUUGCGCCGGCGAUGGUUCAUUCAAAUUUCUGCCCUAUCAACUUUCGAUGGUAGGAUAGUGGCCUACCAUGGUGGCAACGGGUAACGGGGAAUUAGGGUUCGAUUCCGGAGAGGGAGCCUGAGAAACGGCUACCACAUCCAAGGAAGGCAGCAGGCGCGCAAAUUACCCAAUCCCGAUACGGGGAGGUAGUGACAAUAAAUACUGAUACGGGGCUCUUUUGGGUCUCGUAAUUGGAAUGAGAACAAUUUAAAUCCCUUAACGAGGAACAAUUGGAGGGCAAGUCUGGUGCCAGCAGCCGCGGUAAUUCCAGCUCCAAUAGCGUAUAUUAAAGUUGUUGCAGUUAAAAAGCUCGUAGUUGAACCUUGGGUCUGGCUGGCCGGUCCGCCUCACCGCGAGUACUGGUCCGGCUGGACCUUUCCUUCUGGGGAACCUCAUGGCCUUCACUGGCUGUGGGGGGAACCAGGACUUUUACUGUGAAAAAAUUAGAGUGUUCAAAGCAGGCCUUUGCUCGAAUACAUUAGCAUGGAAUAAUAGAAUAGGACGUGUGGUUCUAUUUUGUUGGUUUCUAGGACCGCCGUAAUGAUUAAUAGGGAUAGUCGGGGGCGUCAGUAUUCAGCUGUCAGAGGUGAAAUUCUUGGAUUUGCUGAAGACUAACUACUGCGAAAGCAUUCGCCAAGGAUGUUUUCAUUAAUCAGGGAACGAAAGUUAGGGGAUCGAAGACGAUCAGAUACCGUCGUAGUCUUAACCAUAAACUAUGCCGACUAGGGAUCGGACGGGAUUCUAUAAUGACCCGUUCGGCACCUUACGAGAAAUCAAAGUUUU